This is a long non-coding RNA of Balaenoptera acutorostrata (minke whale), 1247 nucleotides long. RefSeq lists it as uncharacterized. The record is from RefSeq and is a predicted model, not a curated record. The transcript has 7 exons. NCBI's taxonomy places the organism in Eukaryota, Metazoa, Chordata, Mammalia, Artiodactyla, Balaenopteridae.
GCCGCGCCUCGGUCCCGCCAGGUGCCGACCCCGCUCGGGUCGCCGGAGCAGGGUCCUCACUUGCCCGCAACCCCAGGCUUCCGCGCUUAGAGUGGAAAGCGCGAGCCCUGAAGCGGUGAAAGGAACGGGUCUCCUUUCUAGCAUCUUCCAGAACUUACCACGGAGAAUUCCCAUCUUCAUUCCUUGGGUACCUCUACAAGGAUGGAAUUCGUAUACGAGAUAAGCAGACAUUCAAAGGACUCAUCCUUGGAACAGCUCUCUCCCAGUGUUUACUCAGCUGCUUAGGGACACAAGUGUAGAAGUUGAAAAGAACGUGAACAUUUCAUGUCAGGCUCGGGGAGAACCAUAGCCCAUAAUUACAUGGAAUAAGGCGCAGUGCAAUGGCCGUGUUUCUGUGUGGCAGGCAGAGCUACUUGCUAUGGUGAUUCAGGAGCCAGACCCCUUUCUCGGGUUCUGCCGUUGCCGGGGGCUGCAGGUGUACAUGUUAUGAGAGGGUGCGGAUGACACCUUACCGUCUGUGACAGUGGACAGUUACAGUCGCUGAGUGAGUUCCAUCCCCGGGACGGGGCUGCAUGAACCCUGCGGAGGAAAACGGCAGUGAUGGACACCGGCCGGGACAACCUCCCUCCCCGGCGCGGGCUCUCCUCCUGAGCCAGGCUCACUGCUUCCCGAACUUUCUCCCCCGAGGAUGAGUUCUCUUCCCAGAUGGCCUCAGCUCCUUUGAAACUCUAAGAGCUACCCCCAAUAUCAGGAGUGCUGGAUACGGUAUAUUAUACCAGGAACAUUUGUGUUUUUUCAUCACUGCCACCUGCUGUUGCCACUCUAUUUUACCACACAAAUUUCUGCUUCUACAUCAGCAACAAGGUGGAAUCUACCUGGUUGACUGAAGACUAUGCACCCUGACUACUAUUGAAUCAUGCUGUUUUGUCCCAAACAAUUUUACAGAGAGAAAGUCCAUUCAUGUAUAUUAUUCACCUACCAAAGCUUCUGUGUUCAUUGUAUGCAAACCCAAGUGUCCACGGACCACAGAGUGCAGCGUGUGCAAUGUGGAACGAGACGCAGUGUGUGUAUUAGAUAGCAGCUUCUUACAUUGACUGUGACAGUGACAUUAAAUACUAGUGCGGCACUGUGCAUUCACCAUCUGGCAUGCUGGAGUUUACAAAAACAGCCCAGAACAAGAUUUUAAUAGAAGUGGGUGUCCUGGUUGUCUUUCAGAUUCUGUUGCUUAUCAAUCGUCAGAGACUAUU